ACAGAUUGUAGCUUAUAUAAAGUUAGUUAUUUACACUAAUUAGAAAAAUUUCAUUUCUUUCUG
Molecule: transfer RNA, 63 nt
Filed under: Stictocephala bisonia
Lineage: Eukaryota; Metazoa; Arthropoda; Insecta; Hemiptera; Membracidae
Description: tRNA-Val
Source: RNAcentral